GAUGAACGCUGGCGGCGUGCCUAAUACAUGCAAGUCGAGCGAACGGACGAGAAGCUUGCUUCUCUGAUGUUAGCGGCGGACGGGUGAGUAACACGUGGAUAACCUACCUAUAAGACUGGGAUAACUUCGGGAAACCGGAGCUAAUACCGGAUAAUAUUUUGAACCGCAUGGUUCAAAAGUGAAAGACGGUCUUGCUGUCACUUAUAGAUGGAUCCGCGCUGCAUUAGCUAGUUGGUAAGGUAACGGCUUACCAAGGCAACGAUGCAUAGCCGACCUGAGAGGGUGGUCGGCCACACUGGAACUGAGACACGGUCCAGACUCCUAGGGGAGGCAGCAGUAGGGAAUCUUCCGCAAUGGGCGAAAGCCUGACGGAGCAACGCCGCGUGAGUGAUGAAGGUCUUCGGAUCGUAAAACUCUGUUAUUAGGGAAGAACAUAUGUGUAAGUAACUGUGCACAUCUUGACGGUACCUAAUCAGAAAGCCACGGCUAACUACGUG
This 497-nucleotide ribosomal RNA is filed under the name uncultured bacterium. RNAcentral describes it as "partial 16S ribosomal RNA". It matches the Rfam family "Bacterial small subunit ribosomal RNA", at positions 28 to 507 of the family's 1533-position model. The record is from RNAcentral.